RNAcentral lists this ribosomal RNA (253 nucleotides) under uncultured bacterium. RNAcentral's name for it is "partial 16S ribosomal RNA". It matches the Rfam family "Bacterial small subunit ribosomal RNA", at positions 524 to 776 of the family's 1533-position model. The record is from RNAcentral.
UACGUAGGGUGCGAGCGUUAAUCGGAAUUACUGGGCGUAAAGGGUGCGCAGGCGGCGUCGCAAGUCAGGCGUGAAAUCCCCGGGCUUAACCUGGGAACUGCACUUGAAACUACGAUGCUGGAGUAUGGCAGAGGGAGGUGGAAUUCCACGUGUAGCGGUGAAAUGCGUAGAGAUGUGGAGGAACACCGAUGGCGAAGGCAGGUCUCUGGGCUGACACUGACGCUCAUGCACGAAAGCGUGGGGAGCAAACAGG